CAACUUUCAACAACGGAUCUCUUGGCUCUCGCAUCGAUGAAGGACGCAGCGAAAUGUGAUACGUAAUGUGAAUUGCAGAAUUCAGUGAAUCAUCGAAUCUUUGAACGCAUCUUGCACCCUUCGGUUAUUCCGAGGGGUACGCCUGUUUG
RNAcentral lists this ribosomal RNA (149 nucleotides) under Lactifluus aff. tenuicystidiatus JN 2011-074. RNAcentral's name for it is "5.8S ribosomal RNA". It matches the Rfam family "5.8S ribosomal RNA". Rfam says of the family: 5.8S ribosomal RNA (5.8S rRNA) is a component of the large subunit of the eukaryotic ribosome. It is transcribed by RNA polymerase I as part of the 45S precursor that also contains 18S and 28S rRNA. Lineage: Eukaryota; Fungi; Basidiomycota; Agaricomycetes; Russulales; Russulaceae. The record is from RNAcentral.